RNAcentral lists this ribosomal RNA (484 nucleotides) under uncultured bacterium. RNAcentral describes it as "partial 16S ribosomal RNA". It matches the Rfam family "Bacterial small subunit ribosomal RNA", at positions 30 to 507 of the family's 1533-position model. The record is from RNAcentral.
AUUGAACGCUGGCGGCAGGCCUAACACAUGCAAGUCGAGCGGAUGAAGGGAGCUUGCUCCUGGAUUCAGCGGCGGACGGGUGAGUAAUGCCUAGGAAUCUGCCUGGUAGUGGGGGAUAACGUCCGGAAACGGGCGCUAAUACCGCAUACGUCCUGAGGGAGAAAGUGGGGGAUCUUCGGACCUCACGCUAUCAGAUGAGCCUAGGUCGGAUUAGCUAGUUGGUGGGGUAAAGGCCUACCAAGGCGACGAUCCGUAACUGGUCUGAGAGGAUGAUCAGUCACACUGGAACUGAGACACGGUCCAGACUCCUACGGGAGGCAGCAGUGGGGAAUAUUGGACAAUGGGCGAAAGCCUGAUCCAGCCAUGCCGCGUGUGUGAAGAAGGUCUUCGGAUUGUAGAGCACUUUAAGUUGGGAGGAAGGGCAGUAAGUUAAUACCUUGCUGUUUUGACGUUACCAACAGAGUAAGCACCGGCUAACUUCGUG